RNA transcript from Capra hircus (goat), 1232 nucleotides. It is a transcript of the gene named BCL2/adenovirus E1B 19 kDa protein-interacting protein 3-like pseudogene, with no coding region annotated. Lineage: Eukaryota; Metazoa; Chordata; Mammalia; Artiodactyla; Bovidae. The transcript has a single exon. The record is from RefSeq and is a predicted model, not a curated record.
AUGUCGUCUCACUUCGUAGAACAGCCACCGCCCCCGCACAACAACAAUAACUGUGAGGAAGGCGAACAGUCUCUAACAUCGCCUGCCGGCCUCAACAGUUCCUGGGUGGAGCUCCCCAUGAACAACAGCAUUGGAAAUGAUAAUGGAAAUGGGAAGAAUGGGGGGCUAGAGCAUGUACCCUCCUCAUCCUCCAUUCACAAUGGGGACAUGGAGAAGAUUCUUUUGGAUGCACAGCAUGAAUCCGGACAGAGCAGUUCAAGAGGCAGUUCUCAUUGCCAGCCCUUCCCCACAAGAAGAUGGGCAGAUCAUAUUUGAUGUGGAAAUGCACACCAGCAAGGACCAUAGCUCUCAGUCAGAAGAAGUUGCAGAAAGAGAAAAAGAAGUGGAUGCUCUGAAGAAAAGUGUAGACUGGGUGUCUGACUGGUCCAGUAGACCUGAAAACAUUCCACCCAAGGAGUUCCACUUCAGGCACCCUAAGCAUUCCGUUUCCUUAAGCAUGAGGAAAAGUGGAGCCAUGAAGAAAGGGGGGAUCUUCUCCGCAGAGUUUCUCAAGAUGUUCAUUCCAUCUCUCUUCCUCUCCCAUGUUUUGGCUUUGGGGCUAGGCAUCUACAUUGGAAAACGACUGAGCGCGCCUUCUGCCAGCACCUACUAAGGGAGGAGAAGAGUCCCUGGGCCAGCGUGUGAAUUGUGAAGUCGUGUCUUGUCACAGUAGUUUAUUUGAACUUGAGACCAUUGUAAGCAUGACCCAACCUCCACCCUCUUUUUACGUAUCCAAGUUCCAGUAACUCUCAAAUCUAGUAUUUUAUUCCAACUCUGUUGAGGCAUUUUACUAAUACCCUCAUUCCCUUUUUGGCCUGUAAAACACUUUCAAAUUUCCUAAUAAGAGUUUACUGUCAUUUAGAAAUUUGCAAGGGCUUCUUUUCUGCAAACACCACCAGCAGAUUGUAAUUUUGUCAAGAAUGCCAUUGUCUUCUCUCCAUACUACCAGACCUAGACCUGCACCAUUCAUGGUAUAAAUCUUACUCUUACAAGAUAACCCACCUGUCUCUUCAAAUGAGACCAGGUUGCAAAUGAUAUGAAAGCUUUGUUGUUUUGUUUUUCAAGACAAAGGCAAGCUUCCCUAAGCUUGAAUUUAUAGUUAUGAAAAAAGAAAACAAAAACAAAUAAAACAGACAAAAUAUAACACUAGGAAAAAAAUAUCCUGGGCAAUAAAAAGUUAUUAAAAAAAAAGA